CCCUAAAUGUUUGAGAGCUCAGUGUUUGAGCAUUUCCCCAUUUCAUUUGCAGGGGCGGUCUUGGGAGCAGCUGAAGAGAGAGGAGCCUUCUAGGUAUCCCAGAAGGUGAGAGGCACAGUGUCCGACUCUGGUCAGGGCCUCGGUGAUGUUGACUCCGAGUACUCUCAUGACGACAGGAACCUCUGAGCCAGCCCAGGUGCCCCUCCUCUGCAUCCAAGAUGGAUUCGCAUCCCCGGCUCUUGGAAAGAUAAGUGCAGGGCCAAGACCCAGAGAGGGGCUGGGAGUUGGUGCACGCAUGUGCCUGGCCCAGAGGGAUUUUUGAAAUUAGUCCGGUGCAGUGGGUAUCCUGUAACAGGUUAUUUGGACGCAUCGAAGGAAGGGCUUACUUUGUAUUAUUGGAUUCAUGUGUGCAGGGCAGAGCAGUUCCGGUCUGUGUCACGUCCUCUGUCUCGUCCCUGUUUUGUGUCCUUCUUCUCUCAAUUGUGUCACGUGGUGUGUGUCGUCACUGGUGCGGGGUGUCUCACUUGGGGUCAGCCUGGAACUGCUCUGCCCUGCUCCGUGGGUCAGUGGGUAGACAGAAUAUCGCUCAGGGUCUCCCAUCCACAUAUCAGUUACCUCAGGCAGUCGAGCCGAUGUCCAUACGGUCCUGCCGGAUGGAGCGGGUGCACAUAACUCGUGUGCAAUCGUGUGCAAGUGAGCUCAUCCAGCAGCUGGGCUUCAAUGGGAUAAGAGCUCUCCCUUUCUUUCAUUGAAUGGGCCUUCUCAAGCUAUUCCUGCUUUAUUGAAGCAUCAACUUUGGCAUCCAAAGCAGCAGAGCUGUAUAUGGCAAUGAAGAGGAUUACACUCAAAUGCAGGGGUUUUAAAUUUAAGAAUUUUGUGUGCUGUGUUGGUAAGGUGCUUUU
Long non-coding RNA from Chiroxiphia lanceolata (lance-tailed manakin), 902 nucleotides. RefSeq lists it as uncharacterized. The record is from RefSeq and is a predicted model, not a curated record. The transcript has 3 exons. NCBI's taxonomy places the organism in Eukaryota, Metazoa, Chordata, Aves, Passeriformes, Pipridae.